UACCAGCUCCUCGAGUGGUCGGGGCGAUUAUUGGGCCUAAAGCAUCCGUAGCCGGUUUCGUAGGUCCUCUGUUAAAUCCAUCAGCUCAACUGAUGACCUGCAGAGGAUACCGCGAGACUAGGAGGCGGGAGAGGCGGACGGUACUCCGCGUGUAGGGGUAAAAUCCUUUGAUCCGCGGAAGACCACCAGUGGCGAAGGCGGUCCGCCAGAACGCGCUCGACGGUGAGGGAUGAAAGCUGGGGGAGCGAACCGG
This 253-nucleotide ribosomal RNA is filed under the name uncultured bacterium. RNAcentral describes it as "partial 16S ribosomal RNA". It matches the Rfam family "Archaeal small subunit ribosomal RNA", at positions 474 to 727 of the family's 1478-position model. The record is from RNAcentral.